CUGCAAUCUCAGCCAGCCAAGCUGAGUAAGGUUAAAGAAGGGAGCCUCUUCCAAAGACAUUGCUGCUCUAAGAGCUCCACACAGUCUGCCUUGAAUGUGCGAUCCUAUCAUUUCGAUAAAGCAUCAACUUCUUGAAAUCACAACAGCUCUCCAUAGGAAAAUAACAAGGGAGAAGUGCAUGAGAAGAUGAAUCCUCAAAGACAUGCUGCAAACAAAAAAGCAAGCCAGCAAUUCCACAUGCCUUGAGCUACAUCAGACUACCCUUGUUAAGGUGAAUUUUCAGCCAUCUUUUUCCCAAAGGCAUAUGCAAAGAGUAUCUCAGGCUCUUGUGAAGCAUCUCCUCUGACUAGC
Long non-coding RNA from Corvus hawaiiensis (hawaiian crow), 351 nucleotides. RefSeq lists it as uncharacterized. The transcript is spliced from 3 exons. Lineage: Eukaryota; Metazoa; Chordata; Aves; Passeriformes; Corvidae. The record is from RefSeq and is a predicted model, not a curated record.